GUGCCUACGGGGGGCAGCAGUGAGGAAUAUUGGUCAAUGGGCGCGAGCCUGAACCAGCCAAGUAGCGUGAAGGAUGACUGCCCUACGGGUUGUAAACUUCUUUUAUAAAGGAAUAAAGUGAGGCACGUGUGCCUUUUUGUAUGUACUUUAUGAAUAAGGAUCGGCUAACUCCGUGCCAGCAGCCGCGGUAAUACGGAGGAUCCGAGCGUUAUCCGGAUUUAUUGGGUUUAAAGGGAGCGUAGAUGGGUUGUUAAGUCAGCGGUAAAAUUGCGGGGCUCAACCCCGUCGAGCCGUUGAAACUGGCG
Molecule: ribosomal RNA, 305 nt
Filed under: uncultured bacterium
Lineage: Bacteria
Description: bacterial SSU rRNA
Rfam family: Bacterial small subunit ribosomal RNA
Source: RNAcentral